UCGUAAGAAAACGCUCGAGUACAGAGAGGGGAAAUAAGAGUACAACAUGAAAAUACUACUACUUUAUUUUCCAGGAGAAUCGAUUAUCUCUAAUCAAUUUUUGACAAUUUUUAUGCACAGCCGAACGAUGUCGGCUGUUAUCAGGGGAAAUCUUUGAUUCAAUAUCUACCAAUUUUGAUAUCGUUAUACGUGUAAACGCCAGAAAAGCUCAGCUUUCACGGAAGAUUGCUGCUGAUCGCUGAUUGUGUCUAUUUGCGGAUUAUAGGAAAGCAUUAGGGAGCAUUUAGUAUUAAAUUUCUCGACCCUCUUAAGCGAUAUGCGAUACCGAUGCCGGCUGCAUCGAUGAUUGAUUAUGUUCGAUAUUUCACUCAAUGAGCGUUCAUUGACAUUGAAACCGAUAUUGUGAUGAUAAAGCAAAAAAAUAAAACAGCAGAUAGGCUCAUCUUUCUGUCACAUUUAUAAAUCGCGUUCACAUACAUCCACACACGUGCACGGCACCAUAAUCGCAAUCUUAUUUCAAUCUAUAAUUAUAAUGAUGGUGUGUAUAACAUGUUCUUCAGGUUUUAAUACUUUAAUAGUGAACCCAAUUAAUUUCCAGCGUGAGCCCGUGAUAAUGUUAACUUUGUUUCUUGCAUUAAUAUUAUCCAAAUGAUAUUUUAUCUUAUUUUCAAUCAGUAUCCCCAUAAUACAGUUCAUAAAAUUAUUCUUACUUAAGUUAUUCAAAUCAUCACCCAUAUACGGAUAAGAGAAUGCACGUGGAUAUUUUUUAUCCAUAUAUGGGUGACGGAAUGGUCUAAAUGUUAAAAGCAUUAAAAGAAAAGAAUUAAACAUGAAAAAUGCGUAAACAAUUGCCGAAUUUGUUCUAUCGUGUUGCUACGACAAUUAUAAUGCGUAUGUUAAAAGCAUAUGUAUGUUAAAAAUUAGUUCCAUUCAAUGUAUUUCUAUAAGAGAAUAUAGCUGAUUAAAACACGUUGGUGUUAAAAUGAUCGUAACAAGAAGCACACGUUUUUUCAACCGGUUCUCGUAUGCUCCGCGAGACAUGUUACAUAUCGACAAGAAUAGCGUGAAAAGUGGCAUUAAUGACAGAUUAACAUUGGCUGGAGAGAUUUUGCGUCGCCGACUCAGGUAACGAAAAUCAUAAACGGUUUGCAAGCCUUGGAAGUUAAUACGAGGUCAUGAUUCUCGAGAAAGCCAUCGUCCCCGAGCUUCGUGUCGUAACGAGAUCCGUCCAUGAGCGACGAGAAGAGAAACAAACCGCAGAUAUACACUCCGCAUGCGCGUAUCGCAUCGACGAUUAUUACCAACGUUUGUCUGACCAGUAUGCACUCGAUUAAUUUUUACUCUCGGCUAUGCACUCAACGCUCGAAAAGCUACCUUUAAACUUUCAAAGUCCUGUAUCUGCACUUCACUGGAGGUGGAUUUCACAAUCAUCCGCAAUCUCUCGCGUGUUUUUUUUCAGAUUAUACUGAUAAUACUUGAAUCGUUUUAAUUGCAAAUGCUAAUUGCGAGUACUGAUCAAAUCUUUUUCAGGAAUAAGGAGACUAGUCUUUGAUUCUGUGAUGCAUAUUUUUAUUCAUAUAACUUCCUCCAAUAAAUAUGAAUAUAAAAGCUAACAUUAAAAGUUAACGUUGUUAACAAAAGAGGGAAUAUUAUCUUCUUUAUGUGCUAUAUACAUAAAACGCUAUAACUGCUAUAAUUCUUGACAUUAGUCUUAAAUGUUAUUAGUCUUCGACGUAACGAUCUCCAAGAAAAAUAUCGAUCGCAAUAUCAAUCUGACGGACUCGAUGUACUUUAUGUACUUGACGUCAGCAAAGCGUAGUACUCUUCCUGCUUUGUUCGCUAUUUGUGCGGCAUCGCAACGUAAUGAUGACGACAAAGUCGACAGAAGGACUGCUUUCGUUUCAACGUCCUCGAGGCAUACAUUGGCCACGGGCACGAUGCCAAAAACGAAAAAACGAAAGAGCCGCGCCGACAAAGUUGUAUUAAUAUCGCGAGACUAUAAGAGAAACGUCGACCUUUAAUAAUAGAUUUUGGAUGUUUAAUCUUGAUCGAACUGCAAUUGCCAAUUGGCGAUAUCCAAUCUUGACCGAUGUAUCGGUUUUCGUUACUUUACGUUUAGAAAGAUAUAUUUCGAAACACUUAGAGAAAAUCAAAUCGUGUCACGUGGUAAAGAUAUAUAGAAAUCCUGCCGUAGCAAGAGAUUGAGCAUAUCAAAUUAAUUAAUGAGUGGUCAGGAAUUACUUUCUGAUUUGACAAGUUAUUUUAUCUAAAAGCAAUUCUUUAUGUAUUCUGUAAUGAUUAUGUUAUUUGAUACUCUCUAGACAUUCAAAGAGAAAAGAAACGAAACACAAUUAUCAAUUAUAUAUCGAUAAUUAUACUAAACUUUUAAUUAUUACGUUCUAAGUAUAUAACUAUAUAACGUCCUAAGUAAAAUUUGGUUUACUUGAAACUUUGAGAUGAUACGCAAUGAAGCUAAAAAUAUAAAUCUGAUCUCAUUUGGUGUGCACUACCUACUAGGGGUUAAUGACACGAGGAGACAGAGAUGCAGAUCCAAAACAUUUAAUGUAAAUCCUGAAUUUAUGAUGUACAAGUGAAAUUUUGUUGCGACAGGUACAUGUUCUCUCAAAAUAACAGAAACAAUAUAUAUGUGGAAUUACAGUGCAAUUAAAAGACGCGGAGUUGUUCUUAGGGUGCGUGUGCAGUCCUGGAGAAAAUAUUCCUUGAAGAGUUUCUCCUGGUAGUGACAGACUCCUCGAUACUUUCGCCUAGCGUGUAACGAUUGAAUAUACCGUUACCGGACAUCGACUCCGGAGGUGUGCAAUAUGCAAUAUACCAGCAAAUGCGACAUUACAUUCUCGAGAGUAUACACCUUGCAUUAUCACUCAAUGUUUAGUUAUUCAAGUACCAGUUGUAUGGAGAGUGCUCAAGGCACAUCUCGCGAUUCUUCUGAAUUACUUGAAUUCGCAUAUUGUAUUUGUAAAUCCUGUGUAAUAGCUAACAACUUGUGUAAUAUGAUGCGAAUGAGAUUUCUCAUAAUUCCGGAAUUAUUCUUUAUGAGAUGCCGGAUAUGAUGUUUUUUGUAGAUAUAAUGCAAAGCUAAAGUCCAGUCUUGUUUUUCUUCUUCUCGCGUUCUUGUUUCUUUUUAGUUUCCUUACGUCAUACAGUUCAAUUAAAAAUUAAGGAUGAUUUUGUUUCCACUUUGAUUGCUCCGUCAUACUUAUUUCUUGUUUGCAUUGCUCGAUGAGAAAAAUGAAUAUAAAUUUAUAUUAAGUUAUUUAUAUACCUUCAUGAUAUAAUAUACAAUAGAACACAUAAAACUUAAAUAAACACAUUUUAUCCUUGUUAUGCAAGUUUAAUUGGUUUCAAGAAAACCGCUAAAACUUCUCGUGCUUCGUGGAAGUUCUCCACGUGCAAAAACCGCAUUGACUUAUCUCCACAGACAAGAGGAAAAGCACUUUCGAUAUAAAAGAGAUAAGAAAAGAUCUCUCCAUUCGAUAAUGUCCAGUUUAGGCUGGCGUCGUAUCGCAUUGUUUUACGUACGUGAUACAGAUGAUAAAAGUGAUAAAUGAUACAGUGACGUGUCUUGCUUUGUUUUGCAAAAGAAUUUUUGAAGAUAUCAUUUCCGCCUUUUGAGUUUGUAUUUACUCAAGUGUGUUCCUCGUCGCAAGUGUGACAAUUAAGCAGGAAGCCUUCUGCUUACGGUUACUCAAUAGCGCAAACCUCAUCGAGAGUUUUUGCCAUCUUUCAAAUUAACAUUUAUUUUGUUACGUAUGCGUAAGGUCACUUGCGACACGAAGUGCAAUCGUGGUAUUUCAAUGUAGUGUUAUCACUCCGACGACACCAACAACGUCGAACCUCCACGUCACCGCACGUAUCGGAACGUUUCGCAAUUUUUGCAUAUCUUUUCUGCGAUGAUUUUACUUCAAGAAUGCAGUUUAUCGUGGAACCGUGAGUUUUUCAAUGUGUGAGAAUUUUUCUAGUUUUGUAACUGCGGAGUAUUAACAUUUUCUGUCCCCGAUCUUUGAUAUCGUCUAAAAUUUUUGGGUUUCGAAAUGGAUAUGGUCUCCAGAUGUUUUGAGCAUUUAAUAUCGUUCAUCUACUUUCGCUUCAUGGACAUUUUCGAUCAUCGGACACUCGAGCAUGUUCUCACAGAUAUCUCGAGUCCGUCUCAUGUUCAGUGUGCACAUAUGCACAUUUGCGUGACACUCAGAGACCAACGAAAUCAUUGCAAUUUUACACGUGUCUUGUAGCUACAAUCCCGCAAUCUCCAUCAUAUUCCGUGUCCUUGUUGUAUCACGUUUCUACUUGCUUCAUAAUACUGUUCUUGUCGUCGCAAAUUCCAUAAACUUCGCUAGCGCCUAUCAGAAUUUCACAACCCAGCUGGUCAUUAGUCUGACUCGUCAUCUAUGUGAUGACGUAUGCAAGUUAAUAACAUAGAUAAAUUGAUAGAUAAGGAAAAAGAGAAAAGCAUCUUCCAUGUACAAGACAUACUUGUCUAAUUCAAUUCUCUUUAACAGCAUUAACAGACGAAAUUAAUUCAACAAAAAUGCAUUGCGAAUUAUUAUUAAAUCAAAUGUAACGAUAUCUUAAGUAUAUCGAGGAAUAUAAAAUUAUAUAUUAUACAUAUAAAAUUAAAAUACACAUAAGUAUGUUUCUCACAAAAACAUAAACAGUAUUAUAAUAAAAUAAGAAAAAUAAUAAUCUUCUUACUCAUAAAUAAAUGGUGCAAAGAUCGAUAAAGGAUCUGUGGAUCAUGAUCGAUGUCGAUUUAAAACAGAUUUUUAGAAACUAACUUUCGAGAAGUGGAAUUUAAACAAUUUCAGUGAACCGAUGCUUCAUGGCAUGUUGCAGACAGCAAGGAGCGGGACGAGAUGUGCGGGAACGAGACCGCGAGUAGAUCGAAACGCAUCGCGACGCUUUUCUCUCGUGUACCGGUGCGAGGAAGCAUUACUCUAAUCUCGACAGGCACUUAAAUCAUUAUCUAACACCGCCAAGCACAAAGAGACGCGCGAGAUAUUGCAUCGUCCACGACGCACGUUAUAUGCUAUUUAAACCGCGUGCAAACGCGAGCGAUCCGCGUGCGUGCGCGCAAGAGCCGAUGCGAAGUGCACGCGCGUGUUCCACUUCGUGAGCUGGCACUAGCGAAACUUUCGUCGCGCGUGCAGUAACGCGCGAGUGAUAGAACACGCGCGAUCACAUCGCAUCGAAUCACUGUGAGUCAGACUUUGUAUAUCACUAAAAAAAAGAGAAACAGAAAACGCAUCCUCAUGCAACGAUAUUCCGAGAAUGAAGUAAAAGGAAACUGCUCGCCCGAUGAAAAGAUGAAGCCGAGAGGAUGCGUGGAUCUUAUGUACCGCGUAAAGUGCGUAUCGGAUUGGCGAUUGAGCAUUGGAAAUUGAGCGAUGGAAACGUUGUCUACAAAACAUUUUGAUUGAUCGAAUCGGGAUCUCUAAUGUGCGAUUUUAAUCUCCAAUAGUCUAUAUUCAAAAGGCGUCUACAACGAUAAAAACGUCUCUAAAAGUAGCUUAAAAACCGCCUGAUUGGCUGAGAAGUCACAUUGACGGCGCUUUUAUCGAUAAAAGUGAAUUGAGAAUAUGGGCCUUAAUCUCCAAUGAAUAAUCGGAAUAGUCUGGGUUUACGGUUUAUGUUUGGAACAUCCUCAAGCAGAGCGGAGAGAGUGAUUGGCUCGAUGUGUCUACGGUUUAGUACGUAACCGUUAGAUUACAGGUGAUCAAUGGCACGCGAGCGCUGUUUGGACUGCACAUGGUGAUCUCUAAAUGGCAUGCAAGCGUUGCAACAGAUAUGAUUGCUAGCUCUUUAUGCUUAUACGCUUUACAAUCCUAGAGAUGGCACGUGAUUAAUCGUGAUGCGUAAUGUCGGAAAUUUGGCUCGUUAUUAGUUGAAAGUAGGCCGUCACUUUUAGGUCAGACAGUAUUUAUUCGGAAAUCAUUACGUUGGCCGACUUAGGACUCCAAGAGCGUCCUGCCGAACAACUUUUAAAUCAUGUGCAAUUGAUUUCUCUCAACUUCUGCGUAAUACCCGAAGGAUAUUUUUCAAGCUGUGAUCGAAAACUUAUUGUAUUAUUUCGAUAACAUUCCAAUAACGAAGAUAAUCGAAAUGUUUAAAGAAUAUCGAAAGAAUUUCUUAAUGAAUCGUUAAAACAUUUUCCGUUAAAACAUUUUCAUUUCAUUGAAACGGAUCCUAAUGAGUCCCCUAGUCGACUCAUCGCGUGCCUGUUCAGUGGCGUAUAGUAAGCGGCUUUAAAUGCUAUUUACGUGUAUUCGCCACGAUGCACAUUAACGGCAUGUUAAUGGCGCCGAGGAAAGAAAGGAAACAGUUUUUCGCAUUCAAGGAUUCUCGCGCCGCUUAAUAGAAAUUAAUAUACAGGUGUCUCAGAAAUUCUGUUACGGUAUACGACGCGUAAAAACGGGAAAAGAGCAAACCGUUGGAUCAUCCGGAGAUAGAGACGUUGCAUGUCAUAUCGAAUUUUCGAAAAAUAAUUAUCAGACUAAACAAACUCGCACGAUAACUGACCUAUGUUACUUUAAUACGAUGACAUUUCAGCAUAACAAGUAUCUUCCAUGUAUCGUGCGUCGAGUAGCCAACUCGUUUUCCGGAAAAAAGUGCUACAGCGAACUCUCGGAUUGGCUGAUAAGUUCAUACACCAGCCAGAUCGGUCGGCUUCAGGGCGCAGUCGGAGAGUUCACCGAAUCCGGAGAAGGAAUAAAGGGAGUCAAGCGAGUUCGGCAAAAGGAUGAUGCUCCAUGUUAGGAACCGGGUGUUCGAGCCGCAAGGAAUUUCGAGGAUUCGAAAGAGACGACGGUUUUACGGCUGCUUGGCAACGAGGCCAGGCACCUAGCCAGACGAACCAGCCAGCGGCAACCGGAGGCGCCUGCCGCGGGUCCGACAAUCCGUUGAGGUCAGAGCCCCUCUCACAAAGAAGGGCCCCUCCCUUGGCGCCCUCGAAUGGUUAUACAGGGUGUCUCUCCUCCGUUAUACCAAAGCGCAUCGACGCGUGAUGGAACCGCUUGUCGCGUUUCGAAAUUCGCUCGGCACGAUCAGCUGAUAAUACCGCAAACGGAUAGAAAAAAACAUAUUAUCAGUAAAAAAAGAACCCUCUAUCAACGUUAUUUGCUCGCUAAGAUCUACUUAGAAGAGAGAUUUUUGUCAGCCCGUUGCUGCGCUCUGAUCCAACAAGUUCGAUAUCGAGUUAUGUGAAAUUAUUAAGUAAUUUCGCUUUGAUAAAGUUAGUCAGGACGACUUGAAAAUGAUGAAGAAAUCAUAAAAAUAGUGAAUACGCGGUAAUCCGGGGUAGAUAAAGUGCUCAAAGGCACUGGAGACUAGUAAAACGUACCAAGUAGAACCUCCCUUAAUAAAUAAACUUCAAUCAUUUAUUUUUGCGAUAUUUUAUCGCCAACGAAAAUCAGUAUGCUAUGCGAAUUCGCGCCAAGCGACAAACGUGUGUCGCCCAAAUUCGAUUUCCGAAUUCCGGCAGUGUCGAAUUCAAGAUUUUAUUGCGACGAGUACGAGACGCUACGAUGCCAAUAAUUGAAUCACUUGUUAGCUCGCGACAGAUAGUGACUAUGAUAAAUAAAGUCAAGUUGAAUCAAGGCUCAAA
Long non-coding RNA from Ooceraea biroi (clonal raider ant), 7618 nucleotides. RefSeq lists it as uncharacterized. Lineage: Eukaryota; Metazoa; Arthropoda; Insecta; Hymenoptera; Formicidae. The record is from RefSeq and is a predicted model, not a curated record.